This 92-nucleotide ribosomal RNA is filed under the name Legionella cincinnatiensis. The record is from RNAcentral. Lineage: Bacteria; Pseudomonadati; Pseudomonadota; Gammaproteobacteria; Legionellales; Legionellaceae.
UCCUGGCGACCAUAGCGGUUUGGAACCACCUGAUUCCAUCUCGAACUCAGUAGUGAAACGAACAUGCGCCAAUGAUAGUGUGAGGUUUCCUC